RNAcentral lists this ribosomal RNA (504 nucleotides) under fungal sp. PTFL003. RNAcentral's name for it is "eukaryotic LSU rRNA". The stretch from base 149 to 302 matches the Rfam family "5.8S ribosomal RNA". The record is from RNAcentral. Lineage: Eukaryota; Fungi.
GGCUGGAUCUCUCGGGGUUACAGCCUUGCUGAAUUAUUCACCCUUGUCUUUUGCGUACUUCUUGUUUCCUUGGUGGGUUCGCCCACCACUAGGACAAACAUAAACCUUUUGUAAUUGCAAUCAGCGUCAGUAACAAAUUAAUAAUUACAACUUUCAACAACGGAUCUCUUGGUUCUGGCAUCGAUGAAGAACGCAGCGAAAUGCGAUAAGUAGUGUGAAUUGCAGAAUUCAGUGAAUCAUCGAAUCUUUGAACGCACAUUGCGCCCUUUGGUAUUCCAAAGGGCAUGCCUGUUCGAGCGUCAUUUGUACCCUCAAGCUUUGCUUGGUGUUGGGCGUCUUGUCUCUAGCUUUGCUGGAGACUCGCCUUAAAGUAAUUGGCAGCCGGCCUACUGGUUUCGGAGCGCAGCACAAGUCGCACUCUCUAUCAGCAAAGGUCUAGCAUCCAUUAAGCCUUUUUUCAACUUUUGACCUCGGAUCAGGUAGGGAUACCCGCUGAACUUAAGC